Long non-coding RNA from Oncorhynchus keta (chum salmon), 1205 nucleotides. RefSeq lists it as uncharacterized. The record is from RefSeq and is a predicted model, not a curated record. NCBI's taxonomy places the organism in Eukaryota, Metazoa, Chordata, Actinopteri, Salmoniformes, Salmonidae. The transcript has 4 exons.
CAAUUUAGGGCACAAUGUAAGGGUGAACAGAACAAUUUAGGGCACAAUUAAAAUGGAAGACUAAAGGGAGCAACACUGGAUACAAAGUAAAACACAAUAUCAAGAACAACGUCAGGGUGAGGUACAAAGUAAAACACAAUAUCAAGAACAACGUCAGGGUGAGGUACAAAGUAAAACACAAUAUCAAGAACAACGUCAGGGUGAGGUACAAAGUAAAACACAAUAUCAAGAACAACGUCAGGGUGAGGUACAAAGUAAAACACAAUAUCAAGAACAACGUCAGGGUGAGGUACAAAGUAAAACACAAUAUCAAGAACAACGUCAGGGUGAGGUACAAAGUAAAACACAAUAUCAAGAACAACGUCAGGGUGAGGUACAAAGUAAAACACAAUAUCAAGAACAACGUCAGGGUGAGGUACAAAGUAAAACACAAUAUCAAGAACAACGUCAGGGUGAGGUACAAAGUAAAACACAAUAUCAAGAACAACGUCAGGGUGAGGUACAAAGUAAAACACAAUAUCAAGAACAACGUCAGGGUGAGGUACAAAGUAAAACACAAUAUCAAGAACAACGUCAGGGUGAGGUACAAAGUAAAACACAAUAUCAAGAACAACGUCAGGGUGAGGUACAAAGUAAAACACAAUAUCAAGAACAACGUCAGGGUGAGGUACAAAGUAAAACACAAUAUCAAGAACAACGUCAGGGUGAGGUACAAAGUAAAACACAAUAUCAAGAACAACGUCAGGGUGAGGUACAAAGUAAAACAUAAUAUCAAGAACAACGUCAGGGUGAGGUACAAAGUAAAACACAAUAUCAAGAACAACGUCAGGGUGAGGUACAAAGUAAAAUACAAUUUUAGAACAACAAUUUAGGGUAUUUUAUAUGUCUGACAGACAUGUAGGGAAAUGAGUUAUGGGAAAGUGGGGAAUUAUAUGUUAGGUCAUAUCGAGGUAGAGUCUACUGUAGUAUGCAUAUUAGAACACAAUCUAAGGAGGUAGGGAACAAUAUGAGGACAUAGGGCAGAAGUGUACAAUGCAUGGGAGUGGAAAGGUGUUAGAGUGAGUAUAUAGUGACUAGCUGGGGUUAUACGCUCGUCACCAGCACCACAUGCAUUGGGCCAUGAGCCUUCAACUCAAUCGUCAUCACAAUCCAAGUCCAACCUUACUACAACCUAAGAGCAACCAUCAAAGUCAAAAGUCAGAGUG